CAAUUCAAAAUUUUCCGUUUUCGACUUUUUGUGAUAAAUCGGCCCAAAACAAACAGUUCUAGCACCACAAUUUAAUAAAAAAAGAAUAAAGGCUCAAAUCAAACGAGCGCUGAAUUUGUGUCUCUUUCACACGGAGGAUUUCCUCCCGUCCUUCUUCCCGCGAAAGAGGCCCAUUUAGUAAGGCGCCAGUAUUUGUGCAAGCAUCACGCCGCGCGUGGAAGCCAAUUUCGAUUUAGGCCCGUCUAUCAUGAAUAAUCUGAAUAUUUUAAGAAAAGUCGCCGUGUUCACAAAAAAUUUUGAACAUGCUAAAUUCGUCGAUUCCACCGCCUCGAAUCAUACAAAAAACUACAGGUUCAAAAGAUAAGAUUUUAACUCAGAUAUUAUUGAAAAACAGAAUAUUCCUUUAUGUAGUCCGCCAAAACAUGACGACACAAUAUCUAAUAGUCUUGAAAAAUUCAAUAACUCUGAUACUACUCCCAAUAUUCUCGUAACUGACACCACUUUAACUAUUGCAUCUACAUCUAUGAGAUCAAGGGCAUCUUCUACUCCAGCUCGUCGUCUAGUUCCAGCAGCAGUAGUAGUAGUAGUUCAUCAUCCCGUAGUGGUACACCAAUAAAUAGAGAAAAAUCUGUAACACCUCAAGACAAACAACCUGAAAUUCAGAUAUCAGAUUCACCUUCAAUUUUAAUAAUAUUGAAACGAGGCCUGCACGUCGAGCCCCUGCAGUAAAUUAUCAUGUUUCACCGAUAAAUUCUGGAGAAAGUGAGGUCGAUCUUAGCGACAAUGAUCCUACCUAUAACCAAGGAAGUAGACCACGUUUAUCAACCACCACAUCUUUGUCUUCUGCAACAGAAACCAUAGCUGAAGUGUCCACAUCUAAGAAAUUAACAAGAAAACGUAAAGCCGACCCUACCAAGUGGAAGCAGAAUCAGCAAAAGAUCAAACGAAACUUAGGAGAAGCAUACACAUCUACUAAUACCAAAAAACGAAUUCUUGCUCGGGAAAUGAAGCCACCAUGUACUCAAAAAUUAAAAUGCAGUGAAAAAAUUAAUGGUAGUAAAAGAAUUGAAUAUUUUAAAUCCUUCUGGGCAUUAGGAAGCCUUCAACUCCAACGUAUUUUUAUUUUAUCAAGCAUAUCUUUUGUUACACCUAAAUAUAAAUACACAAAUGCAGAAUUGUUUGAUUGCUUUUUGGUUCUUUUUAAGAAUAGGUAUUCGCUUUUUUUAAUAUUCUUUUUUAUUUUAUAAGAAAUAAAGAAG
Molecule: long non-coding RNA, 1259 nt
Organism: Amyelois transitella
Lineage: Eukaryota; Metazoa; Arthropoda; Insecta; Lepidoptera; Pyralidae
Exons: 3
Source: RefSeq, a predicted model, not a curated record